RNAcentral lists this long non-coding RNA (1679 nucleotides) under Olea europaea (common olive). RNAcentral describes it as "long non-coding RNA (OEUR_LNC010156)". Lineage: Eukaryota; Viridiplantae; Streptophyta; Magnoliopsida; Lamiales; Oleaceae. The record is from RNAcentral.
CCAAAAAUUCUUAUUCCAAAAUUGGAGAAUCCAAAAUAUGAAUUUCAUCCUUGAAACUCUUCUUUAUUCUUAAUGAUUUAACAUGGGGUUAAUUCUAAUACCACUUGUUGAAAUUUUAUAAAACUUUAAAUUUUAAUAACAUGAAAACCUAAUUACUUUAUUUGUCAAGAUCUUUCAUGCCAAAUCACCAAGAAAAUUAAUAAUGCAGAACAUACCUUAAUUCUUUGAGAAUGACCAUUUAUUACUAGAUCUUGAUUCCAGAUUUUAAAUCUUGAAAAUCAAUUUGAAUUCUUUCUCGAUUGGUUUCUUGCUUUCAAUUUUAAAUUUUGUCUCCUUGGAUUUUUUUAUUCUUGUUCUUGGUUUUCUUAUUGAUCUAUAAUCUUGAUUCUUGAAUUUCUUCAUCUUGAUUUUUGAUUGUAGAUUAUCUAUUCUUGAUUAUGGGUUUUGAAUCUUCCUCUUCAAUAUAUCUUCUCUCUAAAUUCUUGUAUCGAUGGGAUGAUACAAAAAAUGAGAAAUUGUAUCUGAAUUGAGGGACCAUAAUCCCAUAUCUAGUUUCCAUAUGUAUUUUUGGCCCAUCAUGGAGUACAAUUUUAAGGGAAUUCGAUCUCUGCACAUAUAAUUCGGGUCACACUUUAUUUAGAGGCACUAAGUCGAAUAUUAAAUUCUUUAUUAGAUCACUUUAAUUUUAAGCUUAAUUUUAAAAUAGUCUUUAUACACAAUUAAUUACAUGUAUUAGCUCACAUGGUAAAUUAAUAAUUUCCCAUCACAUUUAACAUUUUUGUUUUUCUAAUUGUCAUAAACCUCGAGGAACGACUUCUUAAAUAGUUUUAUAUUUCAAACAUGGUUAUAUGAAGGCAUGGGCUUGCCCUGCCAAGGAAACAGGGACAAGCACGGGAAAAGUUGUUCUUGACACGACUUUUUCGCUUUAUUUCUAUUUUUUAAAUUUAAAUAGUAAAUAAAUAAAUAAAUAGGAUAAAGCUACACGUAUAGAAAGUGGUUCACAAAAAUUCAAAAGAGGGUGAUGUGUUGUGAAAAGGAAAAGGAAAGGACAGUUCACUUCAGUUCACUUCGAGAAAAAUAUGAAUAAAUUCAUCAUAUUUCUUAUUUGUAUGUCUUAAUUUUUGUGGUCACUGUGUAUGUUCUCAAUUAUCAUAGCACAGGUAUGCUCCUUUGAUCAUGUUGGGGACCUACUAUGCCAAAAAAUAAAUAAAUAAAAAGGAGUUAUGAACGUGUCAAAAAAGUCUUACCUGCUUGGAUUGUGGUUCCGCAAGCACUUUGUUGAACUCGAAAACAUCCUCACAAUUGCCUUGCAUCUUGAUCAUACUGAAGGCGUCAAUUUUGAUGAGAUAUGAUCGCACACCUUUAACUACUAUGGUUAUUACAACCCAAUUUCAUAAGACCUUCAUUCUUUGAAGGAUCAUCAACGUAUUCUGGUUUAAAAAAUUAAGAACCCCAUUUUCUCUGAGCAUGUAAUCGUUCCAAGGGAGACUUGCUUCUUCAAGCAUUUUGAGUACGUUUUGUCGUUGGGUAAACUCAUAUUUGACACUAAUUUGGACAAAUUUCGUCCAGAAAGAUCUGAGCCUGUCAAGAUUUGAAGCUCUAAUGCAUAUUCAGGGCAUUUUGUGUUUGUUUUUGAGCUUCCAGGAAGAAAUAAAAGAAAAAAAGGUCUCAAAAGACCC